Small nuclear RNA from Trichechus manatus latirostris (Florida manatee), 108 nucleotides. NCBI's taxonomy places the organism in Eukaryota, Metazoa, Chordata, Mammalia, Sirenia, Trichechidae. The record is from RefSeq and is a predicted model, not a curated record.
AUGCUCACUUCGGCAGCAUGUACUCUAAAAUCGGUAUGAUACAGAGAAGAUUAGUAUGACCCCCGCAGCAAGGAUGACAAGAAAAUUUAGAAAGCAUUCCAUAUUUUU